Non-coding RNA from Streptococcus sp. 'caviae', 111 nucleotides. The record is from Rfam. NCBI's taxonomy places the organism in Bacteria, Bacillati, Bacillota, Bacilli, Lactobacillales, Streptococcaceae.
AUCAAGGGAGUAGCUAGCGGUUUUGCCGUGAUGUUGUCGUCAAUCCGAAACUGUUUUCCGGCAACAUAUUAAAUAGCGAGACUUGUUUAUCAAAUAAACAGGUCUUUUUCU